ACUUCUAUGCAAGGCAGUCUUGUGCUAAAGAAUUGCUAAAAGAGACAGUGCCUUUUGAAUGCACCAUAUGUGUUAUUCAAAAGCAGUGGCAAGUCGAAGCUCCUAUCUUAAUCCUCGCUUGUUAUUAUGGAAGCCUGGAUCCAACUUUUGAAGGAUAAGAGAUUUCACAGAUCAUUGAUUACAAAGGCAAUAGCCAACACCAACACCCCAGACAUGAGAGGGAUGCUACCUUCGAUGCAGCCUCCCUGCCCGGCCCCAGUCAAGCCACCGAUGACUGCUACUACCUGAGCAAGCCCAGGAGUGGGACUGGUGGCUCUGUAAGAAGAGGAGGAGGCACCUGAGCUGGCACACUCAGCUCCUUCACCAUGUGAUGCCCUGCACCACCUCAAGACUGCAGAGUCCUUACCAACAAGACGGCACUCACCAAAUGCAGCCCUUAGACCCUGGACUUCUCAGUCUUUUUAACUGUAAGAAAUAAAUUCCUUUUCUUUAUAAAUUACCCCAUGUUUCAGGUACUCUGUUAUAAGCAACACAAAACAGACUAAGACAUCUUACCACAUUCAUCUAUCCAAAUAAGUUGCAAGUAUAUGGUCAGUAAGUUAUCUUAUAAGUGCUCCCACACUGAAUGCAUGGUAAAUGCCAAAUAUGUAAUUGUAAUGUAUUGGUUGAGCCAAUAAAUCCAUCCAGAUAGAAUUCAUGCCCUUCACAUGUUGGUUUUACUCUUCUCUGGAUGAUGGUGUUACCUCCGAUCAUUUUGUACUCAGUUGGCAUAAAU
This 775-nucleotide long non-coding RNA is filed under the name Homo sapiens (human). RNAcentral's name for it is "non-protein coding lnc-SLCO1A2-4:5". The record is from RNAcentral. Lineage: Eukaryota; Metazoa; Chordata; Mammalia; Primates; Hominidae.